UGGGGUCUGAUUCGUACGUGCUCGGCAACUACAUUAUGAAAACAGAUUCAGAAAAUGCAAAAUGCAAAUGGCACAUAUUGCGUAAAACAAAUUAUAAAAAUAUUCCUUGAAACAAAUGCAAAACACGCGACGCGAAUCUUUGUGAGUCUUGACAGAAAAUAUGGAAUAGAAGUGUUGGUCAAGCUCUCCAGUGCUUUAUCUGAUGGCAGAGAGGUAAUCAUGGUUGAUCAAAUAGGUGAAGGAAAUGAGCCAAAACAAAUUUCUGGGUUCUGAUUCAAAAUCGAACCAAAAAUGCUUGGUAGGGAAACAAAUUUCUGGCUUCAGAAUUAAAAUCUUACUUCUGUUUUUGUGAGCAGAGCAAUGGGAUUCUUCUGAUACACCUCCCUGCAACCAAAGGAUGUAUCGGUUAAGUUUACACUCUUCGAGCGAGUGUCGGCUCCAAAAAAAUUAGAGAGAAAGAGCAAGAUUGAAAAGAGAAGUUGAGAAAUAGAAGAAGAGUCGAGAAAGAUAAGAAACAAUUCAUUCCGUAUAUCCUUACAUAUACCCCUUUGUCUAUAGAAGUUUCAAUUCAGCUCAGCAAACAACUUGUAACAGAAAAUAUAACAGCAAAAAUAAACCAGCAAAUAUAGAUCCCUAAAUAAUCGGAGUAACAAUAAAUCAAUUCCACUACACGAUAAAGUCUCUAAACCACCCAGGGGGGGCCUUCUCAAUCGUGUGCCUUUCUGUGGUUCAUUACAAGCUGCUUCGUCCUCAACAUGUGACGUGGUUUCUUUCUUGGACUGCCCUUCUUGUAAACAUUCAAGUUGGUCCAACUGAAUUUCGAAGGUUGUAUC
Molecule: long non-coding RNA, 833 nt
Filed under: Citrus sinensis (sweet orange)
Lineage: Eukaryota; Viridiplantae; Streptophyta; Magnoliopsida; Sapindales; Rutaceae
Description: long non-coding RNA (CSIN_LNC003827)
Source: RNAcentral